AGUGAACGCUGGCGGCGUGCUUAACACAUGCAAGUCGAACGAGAACGGAUUAUAGCUUGCUAUAAUUGUCAGCUAAGUGGCGCACGGGUGAGUAAUGUAUAGGUAAUAUGCCUCUUACUAAGGGAUAACAAAUGGAAACGUUUGCUAAUACCUUAUACUCCUUAUUAACAGAAGUUAAUAAGGGAAAGAUUUAUUGGUAAGAGAUUAGCCUGUAUUGUAUCAGUUAGUUGGUGGGGUAAUGGCUUACCAAGACUAUGACACAUAACUGGUUUGAGAGGAUGGUCAGUCACGCUGGAACUGAGACACGGUCCAGACUCCUACGGGAGGCAGCAGUGUGGAAUAUUGCACAAUGGACGGAAGUCUGAUGCAGCGACGCCGCGUGGAGGAUGACACAUUUCGGUGCGUAAACUCCUUUUAUAUGAGAAGAUAAUGACGGUAUUAUAUGAAUAAGCACCGGCUAACUCCGUGCCAGCCGCCGCCGUAA
This 484-nucleotide ribosomal RNA is filed under the name uncultured bacterium. Its description in RNAcentral is "partial 16S ribosomal RNA". It matches the Rfam family "Bacterial small subunit ribosomal RNA", at positions 29 to 523 of the family's 1533-position model. The record is from RNAcentral.